UCCCUGGUGGCUCAGAUGGUAAAGAAUCUGCCUGCAAUGCAGGAGACCCGGGUUUGAUUCCUGGGUCGGGAA
Molecule: transfer RNA, 72 nt
Filed under: Ovis aries (sheep)
Lineage: Eukaryota; Metazoa; Chordata; Mammalia; Artiodactyla; Bovidae
Rfam family: tRNA
About the family: Transfer RNA (tRNA) molecules are approximately 80 nucleotides in length. Their secondary structure includes four short double-helical elements and three loops (D, anti-codon, and T loops).
Source: Rfam by way of RNAcentral